ACAAUGUUUGACUAUUGAUGAAUAUCAAAGUAUAAUUAUUUAUUUCUUUUCAGGGAUAUAAGCUUCAAUAAUUUCAUUGGUUCACUCCCACCUCAACUGGGGAAUUUAGAAAGUCUGCAACAACUGAAUAUAAGCUACAAUAACUUCAAUAAUUCACUCCCACUUGAGCUGGGGAAGUUGGCGAGUCUGUGACUACUAAACUAGUGGAUGACAAAUUCACAGAAAGACAAAUAGCAUCAGUGGCCACAGAUUGCAACCUAGAUUUAAACAAGGUUCGAGGUGCCAUCAACAAUACUAACAUAAUCCUCUAGGUCAGAUUGUUGAUUGGACCUGAUUUUAUUUAAAUGAUCUUGAUAAUCCAUUUUAUUUAAAUGAGCAGACCCGGAUGUGCGUCGGAGCUAUCCGGAUGUUGAGCGGGGGUCCUUGGAAGGUGGGAACCGCUGUUAUGACCAUGAUGAAGCUGUCCAUUUCCUAUGGACAUUAUUGGAGGGG
Long non-coding RNA from Magnolia sinica, 492 nucleotides. RefSeq lists it as uncharacterized. The record is from RefSeq and is a predicted model, not a curated record. Lineage: Eukaryota; Viridiplantae; Streptophyta; Magnoliopsida; Magnoliales; Magnoliaceae. The transcript is spliced from 3 exons.